AGAGUUUGAUCAUGGCUCAGAUUGAACGCUGGCGGCAGGCCUAACACAUGCAAGUCGAACGGUAACAGGAAGCAGCUUGCUGCUUCGCUGACGAGUGGCGGACGGGUGAGUAAUGUCUGGGAAACUGCCUGAUGGAGGGGGAUAACUACUGGAAACGGUGGCUAAUACCGCAUAACGUCGCAAGACCAAAGAGGGGGACCUUCGGGCCUCUUGCCAUCAGAUGUGCCCAGAUGGGAUUAGCUAGUUGGUGAGGUAACGGCUCACCAAGGCGACGAUCCCUAGCUGGUCUGAGAGGAUGACCAGCCACACUGGAACUGAGACACGGUCCAGACUCCUACGGGAGGCAGCAGUGGGGAAUAUUGCACAAUGGGCGCAAGCCUGAUGCAGCCAUGCCGCGUGUAUGAAGAAGGCCUUCGGGUUGUAAAGUACUUUCAGCGGGGAGGAAGGUGUUGUGGUUAAUAACCGCAGCAAUUGACGUUACCCGCAGAAGAAGCACCGGCUAACUCCGUGCCAGCAGCCGCGGUAAUACGGAGGGUGCAAGCGUUAAUCGGAAUUACUGGGCGUAAAGCGCACGCAGGCGGUCUGUCAAGUCGGAUGUGAAAUCCCCGGGCUCAACCUGGGAACUGCAUUCGAAACUGGCAGGCUUGAGUCUUGUAGAGGGGGGUAGAAUUCCAGGUGUAGCGGUGAAAUGCGUAGAGAUCUGGAGGAAUACCGGUGGCGAAGGCGGCCCCCUGGACAAAGACUGACGCUCAGGUGCGAAAGCGUGGGGAGCAAACAGGAUUAGAUACCCUGGUAGUCCACGCCGUAAACGAUGUCUACUUGGAGGUUGUGCCCUUGAGGCGUGGCUUCCGGAGCUAACGCGUUAAGUAGACCGCCUGGGGAGUACGGCCGCAAGGUUAAAACUCAAAUGAAUUGACGGGGGCCCGCACAAGCGGUGGAGCAUGUGGUUUAAUUCGAUGCAACGCGAAGAACCUUACCUGGUCUUGACAUCCACAGAACUUUCCAGAGAUGGACUGGUGCCUUCGGGAACCGUGAGACAGGUGCUGCAUGGCUGUCGUCAGCUCGUGUUGUGAAAUGUUGGGUUAAGUCCCGCAACGAGCGCAACCCUUAUCCUUUGUUGCCAGCGGUUAGGCCGGGAACUCAAAGGAGACUGCCAGUGAUAAACUGGAGGAAGGUGGGGAUGACGUCAAGUCAUCAUGGCCCUUACGACCAGGGCUACACACGUGCUACAAUGGCGCAUACAAAGAGAAGCGACCUCGCGAGAGCAAGCGGACCUCAUAAAGUGCGUCGUAGUCCGGAUUGGAGUCUGCAACUCGACUCCAUGAAGUCGGAAUCGCUAGUAAUCGUGGAUCAGAAUGCCACGGUGAAUACGUUCCCGGGCCUUGUACACACCGCCCGUCACACCAUGGGAGUGGGUUGCAAAAGAAGUAGGUAGCUUAACCUUCGGGAGGGCGCUUACCACUUUGUGAUUCAUGACUGGGGUGAAGUCGUAACAAGGUAACCGUAGGGGAACCUGCGGUUG
This 1522-nucleotide ribosomal RNA is filed under the name Salmonella enterica. RNAcentral's name for it is "bacterial SSU rRNA". It matches the Rfam family "Bacterial small subunit ribosomal RNA". Lineage: Bacteria; Pseudomonadati; Pseudomonadota; Gammaproteobacteria; Enterobacterales; Enterobacteriaceae. The record is from RNAcentral.